AUGCUCAUAAGUAAAUUUUGGUGGGGGAGCAAAGAAGGUCAACGGAAGCCGCAUUGGGUUUCUUGGAAGGACAUGACUCAACCAAAAAGCGGGGGUUUGGGUUUCAAAAAAUUUGAGCUCUUUAAUCUGGCUAUGCAGCUGGCUAGACAAGCAUGGCGUUUGCUUCAAAACCCAGACUCACUGAGUGCUCGCAUCCUCAGGAGUGUUUACUAUCCAGGUUCAACAAUUCUUGAAGCCAGCCUCGGAUCCCACCCGAGUCAGAUUUGGCGAGCCAUAGUAGAAGGGAGAGAUAUUCUUCAGCAAGGGCUAAUAAAGAGAAUUGGGAACGGACAAAAUACAAAUAUUUGGACUGAAAACUGGUUACCUAGGGACGAGAUGCUCCGACCAUAUGGUUGUAGGACAGCGAACCCACCUCAGUUUGUUUCAGAAAUCAUAGAUCCAACUACGGCAACAUGGAACAUACAGAGGGUCCAAGAGGUUUUCCUUCCCAUGGACGUGAAAAUCAUCACUAGUAUUCCAUUGUGCACUCGUAAUAUAACUGAUUUCUGGUGA
This 552-nucleotide ribosomal RNA is filed under the name Triticum aestivum (bread wheat). RNAcentral's name for it is "partial small subunit ribosomal RNA". The record is from RNAcentral. Lineage: Eukaryota; Viridiplantae; Streptophyta; Magnoliopsida; Poales; Poaceae.